UACGGGGGAGGCAAGCGUUGUUCGGAAUUACUGGGCGUAAAGGGCUCGUAGGUGGCCAACUAAGUCAGACGUGAAAUCCCUCGGCUUAACCGGGGAACUGCGUCUGAUACUGGAUGGCUUGAGUUCGGGAGAGGGAUGCGGAAUUCCAGGUGUAGCGGUGAAAUGCGUAGAUAUCUGGAGGAACACCGGUGGCGAAGGCGGCAUCCUGGACCGACACUGACACUGAGCCGCGAAAGCCAGGGGAGCGAACGGG
RNAcentral lists this ribosomal RNA (253 nucleotides) under uncultured bacterium. Its description in RNAcentral is "partial 16S ribosomal RNA". It matches the Rfam family "Bacterial small subunit ribosomal RNA", at positions 524 to 776 of the family's 1533-position model. The record is from RNAcentral.